UAAAUUGUUUGCAACAGUUUUGCAGACAACAUUUUUUUCAGUGUAGGUUGUUUUUGAUUUAUGUGUGAACUAUCCCUUUAAAUUGCCAUUUCACAAUCCAAGGUGCCUUAAAUUAGUGCAGUAAUUCUUAACCCUAUAGAAAAUAUAAUUGAAUGUAAUUCGUGUGUUAAAAUCACACGAAACACAUUUUCAAACGUUUGUGAUAAAUUUAGGCUUGUUUUCAGAGGAAUUGAACACAUUUGAGUUUGUUUUAAACAAGAACAAAUACCUGUCAUGACAAAUUAUUUUUCAUUUGAACUAAGUUUGUUUUCUAAGUAAACUGGAAGGUAUUUUCUUGCAUUAAGCAUACAUUUGAAUUAAAUUAAUCUGUUUCACACAAAAAUUCUUCUCAAUUUUCUUCUCGAAUAUAUGUACCUUGAUUCAAAAAUGGACAUUUGCAUCAUUAAACCAUAAAUUACUGAGGGAAAAGCAACAGUUUUCUUAAUGUGAUUAGAUGGUGCAGUAAAGGUAAUAUGAAAAUGAUAGUUUUAGCAAAUCCAUUGUGUAAAUUAAUUACGAAGUAACAGAGAUCACAAUCUAGCUGUAAAACUAUUGUUAACUCAAGAACAGUUUGCUUGUUAGAUGUUUACAUUCAGCAAACAUCAUUUAAAUGAGAAGUCCACCCAAUUAUGGAAAUUUAGUUACUGAUUACUCAAACUCAAGUGAUUUAAAACGUUUAUGAGUUUCUUUUUACUGUUGAACUCGAAGAUAUUUUAAAGAAUGUUAGAAACUGGUAAUCAUUGAUUUUCAUAAUAGGAAAAACCAAUACUAUGAAGGUCAAUAGUUACUGCAGUAGCCAUUUCAAACUAACUACUUUUAUGAUCAAUCGAAGAAAGAAACUCAUAAAGGUUUGUGACAAGUGAGUAAAUAAUUUCCAGUUUUAAAUGAACUGUCCCUUUAAUUUACAUCAUAGCUUUUGUAGAUUAGAGAACACCACCAGUAGCAGCCUUACACCUUUUUCUUUGAAUGUACAAACAUUUUCAACAAAAGUUGAAAAAAUUACAACAAACAUUUGAAAAAUUACAACAAAAGUUAUCCUAAUUAGCAUUUUUUUUUCUAUUAGCGCCUGUAAUUUAAGGCGUUAGGCUCUUUUGAAGUUGCAUUGAGACAUUUAUCUGUUAAAAUAGAAACCAUAAACCUUAAAUAAACGAGAAUAACAAUGAAUGACAUGUAACAAGAAAAAAAAAAAGUUAAUUUUCAUAAUAAUUACUUAUAAAAUAGUAUUACUACUUCCUUGACGUAUGUCAAAUGAAACCUCUGGAGGUUGCGGCCUUCGAAAUCAAACAACUUUCAUUACAAGUACAGAUAUAGUCACAUCAACACACAACUACUUACCCUUUACACACAAAAAUAGGUUUGAUAUUGGCUAACAUUAAAAUGAACAAAUAAAAUAGUGAUAGUUCACUAUCAGUGAACUAUUCCUUUAAAUAGCAUUUUCAUAAUCUAAGACCCCUUAAAUAGAGUAGUAAAUCUUACCCCUAUAGAAAAUUUACUUGAAUGUAAUCUGACCUUGGUGUGUUAAAAUCACACGAAAAAGUUAAUUUGCUUUAACAAAUAGAACAAUUAAAGGUACAGUUCACACAAAAAUGACAAAACAGUCAUCAUUUACUCACCCUUUACUUGUUUUAAACCUUUAUGUCUCUUUUCUGUUAAACACAAAAGAAAAUAUUUUGAAAAAUGUUGGAAACCUGUAACCAUUGACUUCCAUAGUAUUUGUAUUUCCUACUAUGUAAAUCAAUGGUUACAGGUUUUCAGCUUUCUUCAAAAUGUCUUCUUGUGUGUUGAACAGAAGACAGAAACUCAAAGGUUUUAAACUACUUGAUGGUGCUGAGUUCUGAGUAAAUGUUCAUAUUUUUGUGUGAACUAUCCCUUUAAUUUCUGCAAAACUUUUUCAGUUUGAGUUCUACUUCAAUGGAGUCCAUGCCCGUGAUGAAUGUGGUAUGCUUUAUGUUUUCUCUUCUGUCUUCAUCACAGUUCUCAAUGACCAGCUUGUCUUCUGAUGCUAUGGAUCGGGCAUGGUAACUAGGUAACCAUAGAUCUCCACAGUAACUCUCAAGCCCCUCCUCUGGCCUGAUUUACAUAAUCUCUUUGUGAGCUUCCAGCACCCCCCCCCCCUUCCCACUUUUCCAACUAAUGAAAAGACCAUAUUAAAUCCAACAGUCCAAAAACAUUAGCUCAUUGUUCCUGGUUGUAGCUUAGUUCUCUGCAUAAGCUACCACAUGAUGACUAUAAGCUAUUUCAGACCUCAACAAGAGGCUUUCUCUUUCCUCUGAUCAUAUUAUGAAUGAUUUCACUACUCGCUAUGGGAACGUAACUGAAUGCAGGCGUUACAGAGUUCAUUCUGCUUUUAUACUUUGUACUGCCAAAUUUGACAGAUGUUCAAAGGGAGAGUUCACCCAAAAAUGAACAUUUUGACAUCAUUUACUCACACGUUACUUGUUUGUUAAUGCGUUUCUGUUAAACACAAAAGAAGAUAAUUUGAAAAAUGUUUAACUUAUAACCAUUGCCUUCCAUAGUAUUUGGAUUUCCUUGUGUGGAAAUCAAUGGUUACAGGCUCUUCAAAAUAUCAGAAUUUGUGUUCAACAGAAGAAAAACUCAUGAAUGUUUAUAAUCACUUAAAUGUGAGUAGGGUAGCACAGUGGGUAGCGCUGUCACCUCAUAGCAAGAAGGUCGCUGGUUCGAGCCUCGACUGGGUCAGCUGGCAUUUCUGUGUGGAGUUUGAAUUGGGUAAGCUAAAUUGUCCAUAGAGUAUGUGUGUGAAUGAGAGUGUAUGGGUGUUUCCCAGUGAUGGGUUGCAGCUGGAAGGGCAUCUGCUGCGUAAAACAUAUGCUGGAUAAGUUGGCGGGUUCAUUCCACUGUGGGGACCGCUGAUUAAUAAAGGGACUAAGCCGAAAAAAAUGAACGAAUGAAUGAAUUCUAUUUUUUGGGUGAAUUGUCCCUGUGAAGUGAUGAUUAAUGAUCUUCAAACUCAAAAAAAUCGACCAGAUAUUGAUGCUCGUCUUCCUUUUAAUGUCCUCUUUAGCAAGAACAUAUGUUGAUAUUAUGCAACCGAUGUGCUGAUCUGAACCAAUUCCAGGUAGACAGCUCUGAGUGUGGACGCUGGAUGUCUGCAGAUCAAACUAAGUGAGAAGAGUGUUGCAUUGUGGGUAUCACAAAAUAGUGUCUUCAAGGCUCAAAUUUCUGUAAGUACUUAUUUUUUGUACGUAUUUUUAAAGUUUUGUAUUAGUAUUCCAGAAUCAAGUUCACAGUAAUUCCCCUGAAUGCUAAUUUCUUAGAAUAACCAGUGUGAUAUUUUAUAUUAAAUGAAUGUCUGCAAAUGUGUGUACUGUAUUCAGUUUGCUCAAUAAAGCUAUUUUUCACACCA
This is a long non-coding RNA of Danio aesculapii, 3403 nucleotides long. RefSeq lists it as uncharacterized. The record is from RefSeq and is a predicted model, not a curated record. The transcript has 2 exons. NCBI's taxonomy places the organism in Eukaryota, Metazoa, Chordata, Actinopteri, Cypriniformes, Danionidae.